This 253-nucleotide ribosomal RNA is filed under the name uncultured prokaryote. RNAcentral's name for it is "partial 16S ribosomal RNA". It matches the Rfam family "Bacterial small subunit ribosomal RNA", at positions 524 to 776 of the family's 1533-position model. The record is from RNAcentral.
UACGUAGGGUGCAAGCGUUAAUCGGAAUUACUGGGCGUAAAGCGUGCGCAGGCGGUUAUGCAAGACAGAUGUGAAAUCCCCGGGCUUAACCUGGGAACUGCAUUUGUGACUGCAUAGCUGGAGUACGGUAGAGGGGGAUGGAAUUCCGCGUGUAGCAGUGAAAUGCGUAGAUAUGUGGAGGAAUACCGAUGGCGAAGGCAGCCCCCUGGGAUAACACUGACGCUCAUGCACGAAAGCGUGGGGAGCAAACAGG